GAUGGCGACAGCUUUAUAAACUAGUAUCUUGGUGUCCCUAUGAAUGUCCCAUUCCUCAAAAACUCACUGCUUCAUUAAAAAAUGCUGCAUUUGCAGAGCUCAGACUGUGUUGUAUUUCAGUGUUGAUGUUGCCUUUUGUGGAGAGGUGGCUGCCAAGGUAACAAAAAUGGUCAGCAUUGUCUAACGUUACACCAUUAAGUUGUAUUUUUGGCAUUGCAGAGGAAUUGGUUGAUGCCUGUUGAUAAAGCACUUUGGUUUUCUCAAUGUUCAGUGAGAGGCCAAGCUUUUUGUAUGCUUCUGCAAAGGUAUUUAGAGUGGUUUGUAGGUCUUCUUCUGAAUGAACACUGACUACAUUAUCAUCAGCAUAUUGGAGUUCUAUAACAGAUGUUAUAACAGAUACCUCAAUAGUUUCCAUAGUCUGUUUCCCCUUUUUGAAGAGGAUGAUGAGGGUGUUGUCAGUGGUGUCCUUGAAGUCAGCUAGGAUUUUCUCAGUCACCCACACUUUUUCAAUGAACUGGUGGAGUUGUUGUGUCAGCUCAGGUCCACUCUCUUUAAAGAUUUCAACAGGGAUCCCAUCAAGUCCACUGGCUCUGUUAUUUUUUAGUUGGCUGAUGGCUUUACUGACUUCCUCCAAACUAGGCAGUGCUGCAAGCUUAUCCCUCAUUUGUUGUUGUGGGAUUUGUAUGAGAACCUCUUCAGCCACAUUGGACCUGUGGUUAAGGAGGUAAUGGUAAUACUCUUUCCAAUGCAGUGCAAUUGAUUUUUUUUUAUCCUUCAGAAGUUUGGUUCCAUCUGUUGAAUGUAGAGGGGCUAUGCCAUGAUUUGUCGGGUCAUAGAUGACCUUGGCUUGGAGAGAGCACAGUGAAUGAUGUAAUAGAAAGAGCACAUUGGAAGAGAGUGAUUCCUGAGAAGAGCAAAGUGGAUAGAAAGAGGCAUGGUGCAGUGGACAUGGCACAAUGGAAAAGAGGUCAUUGGCCCUCUUCAUAAUCUGAUUAUUAUUGAUCCUCUCUCCUAAAAAGGUCUGGAAGAGUCUGGGUCUUUGUCCAGUUCUUAGAGCAGUUUGGUUAUAAUUCUGAUGUCAGAAUACAUAACAGUCUUAUGAGAUACUAUGUGCAGAAGUGGAAAAUACAACUACAUUGAAAAGAUUCACCCAGAAGUAUCUCCCCUUUGCUGAAUGGAAAGUAUUCCAGAGAGAGCAUAAUAUGGUGGAUACAUGCAUAAAGUCUUCCAUCAUUUUAAAACUUCAGCCUAUAAGUUUUAAAGCCAUAAGUGCUCACACUGAAGAUAAUACCUGGUAUAUGAGAGGAGUCAUGAAGAUGUCUGGAGGGUUUCUGCAUCACUGUUAAAUUUCCACUUCACUACCAGUAUGGUUGUAUGGUUCUUCCUGUAAAUAACUAUGAUGACUGGGAAUUUAGCUCAACAGAUGGGUUGCUUUGCACUCGCUUUUAACUGUGAGAACUGUUGAAG
Long non-coding RNA from Anolis carolinensis (green anole), 1467 nucleotides. RefSeq lists it as uncharacterized. NCBI's taxonomy places the organism in Eukaryota, Metazoa, Chordata, Lepidosauria, Squamata, Anolidae. The transcript is spliced from 4 exons. The record is from RefSeq and is a predicted model, not a curated record.